CAAGUCGAACGAGACCUUCGGGUCUAGUGGCGCACGGGUGCGUAACGCGUAGGCAAUCUACCCGAUACAGGGGAAUAACACGGGGAAACUCGUGCUAAUACUGCGUAAUAAAUGAGAAGGCAUCUUCUUAUUUUAAAAGCUUCGGCGGUAUCGGAAGAGCCUGCGUCCUAUUAGCUAGUUGGUAAGGUAACAGCUUACCAAGGCGACGAUAGGUAGGGGAACUGAGAGGUUGAUCCCCCACACUGGUACUGAGAUACGGACCAGACUCCUACGGGAGGCAGCAGUGAGGAAUAUUGGUCAAUGGACGGAAGUCUGAACCAGCCAUGCCGCGUGUCGGAAGACGGCCCUCUGGGUUGUAAACGGCUUUUCUUUGGGAAGAACACGCUCUUGCGAGAGCAACUGACGGUACCAAAGGAAUAAGCACCGGCUAACUACGUGCCAGCAGCCGCGGUAAUACGUAGGGUGCAAGCGUUGUCCGGAUUUAUUGGGUUUAAAGGGUGCGUAGGCGGCUAUUUAAGUCGUGGGUGAAAGCCCGUCGCUUAACGACGGAAUUGCCUGCGAUACUGGAUAGCUUGAGUAUCGUUAAGGUUGGCGGAAUGGGAGGUGUAGCGGUGAAAUGCAUAGAUACCUUCCAGAACACCGAUUGCGUAGGCAGCUGACUAGGCGAUAACUGACGCUGAGGCACGAAAGCGUGNGGAGCGAACAGGAUUAGAUACCCUGGUAGUCCACGCCGUAAACGAUGAUGACUCGUUGUUGG
This 757-nucleotide ribosomal RNA is filed under the name uncultured bacterium. Its description in RNAcentral is "bacterial SSU rRNA". It matches the Rfam family "Bacterial small subunit ribosomal RNA", at positions 58 to 826 of the family's 1533-position model. The record is from RNAcentral.